Molecule: ribosomal RNA, 553 nt
Filed under: uncultured bacterium
Lineage: Bacteria
Description: bacterial SSU rRNA
Rfam family: Bacterial small subunit ribosomal RNA
Source: RNAcentral
UAGGGAAUCUUCGGCAAUGGACGGAAGUCUGACCGAGCAACGCCGCGUGAGUGAAGAAGGUUUUCGGAUCGUAAAAGUUCUGUUGUAAGAGAAGAACGAGUGUGAGAGUGGAAAGUUCACACUGUGACGGUAUCUUACCAGAAAGGGACGGCUAACUACGUGCCAGCAGCCGCGGUAAUACGUAGGUCCCGAGCGUUGUCCGGAUUUAUUGGGCGUAAAGCGAGCGCAGGCGGUUAGAUAAGUCUGAAGUUAAAGGCUGUGGCUUAACCAUAGUAGGCUUUGGAAACUGUUUAACUUGAGUGCAAGAGGGGAGAGUGGAAUUCCAUGUGUAGCGGUGAAAUGCGUAGAUAUAUGGAGGAACACCGGUGGCGAAAGCGGCUCUCUGGCUUGUAACUGACGCUGAGGCUCGAAAGCGUGGGGAGCAAACAGGAUUAGAUACCCUGGUAGUCCACGCUGUAAACGAUGAGUGCUAGGUGUUAGACCCUUUCCGGGGUUUAGUGCCGUAGCUAACGCAUUAANCACUCCGCCUGGGGGAGUACGACCGCAAGGUNGA